AAGAAGCCACUGGCUGCUACAAAAUUUGAGGAAGCCUUCACCACAAAUGCAGAGGAGUUUAACUGUAGCACUUUAACACAGAAUUGAUUAUCUGAGCAAGCAUCAACACAAAUUUCAAGAUGACUAUUCUGAAAGAGUACUACACUUGAAAAAUGAGUCACUGUUCCAGAAUCAAAGCUCCCUCUUCUCAAGAAUAUCCACCAAAUGAACCUGCAGUACUUGAGCUUCUCACUGAUCAGCUUCACUCCAAGAUCCCUGUGAUACAUGGCAUUCAUUCCCUGUUGUUAGAAGGUCCUUUGGUUGCCUAAAG
Long non-coding RNA from Pipra filicauda (Wire-tailed manakin), 310 nucleotides. RefSeq lists it as uncharacterized. The record is from RefSeq and is a predicted model, not a curated record. NCBI's taxonomy places the organism in Eukaryota, Metazoa, Chordata, Aves, Passeriformes, Pipridae. The transcript has 3 exons.